UAAUUUUCUUUUGCUGUGAUAAAAUAUCA
This 29-nucleotide non-coding RNA is filed under the name Mus musculus (house mouse). Lineage: Eukaryota; Metazoa; Chordata; Mammalia; Rodentia; Muridae. The record is from RNAcentral.